GACGAACGCUGGCGGCGUGCUUAACACAUGCAAGUCGAACGGAAAGGCCCUGCUUGCAGGGUACUCGAGUGGCGAACGGGUGAGUAACACGUGGGUGAUCUGCCCUGCACUUCGGGAUAAGCCUGGGAAACUGGGUCUAAUACCGGAUAGGAGCCAUUUUUAGUGUGAUGGUUGGAAAGUUUUUUCGGUGUAGGAUGAGCUCGCGGCCUAUCAGCUUGUUGGUGGGGUAAUGGCCUACCAAGGCGGCGACGGGUAGCCGGCCUGAGAGGGUGGACGGCCACAUUGGGACUGAGAUACGGCCCAGACUCCAACGGGAGGCAGCAGUGGGGAAUAUUGCACAAUGGGCGCAAGCCUGAUGCAGCGACGCCGCGUGGGGGAUGACGGCCUUCGGGUUGUAAACUCCUUUCGCUAGGGACGAAGCUUUUUGUGACGGUACCUAGAUAAGAAGCACCGGCUAACUACGUG
This 465-nucleotide ribosomal RNA is filed under the name uncultured bacterium. Its description in RNAcentral is "partial 16S ribosomal RNA". It matches the Rfam family "Bacterial small subunit ribosomal RNA", at positions 28 to 507 of the family's 1533-position model. The record is from RNAcentral.